ACCGACAAAGCACUGGCAUGCCUGAAACAUCUUCUGCAACAACAGUUGCUUCUGGCAAGAGUUUGUGCAUUAAAUGGUUCGCAAGCAUCAGGUAAACAACUGCAUCUACAUCAGUAUCCAAACCAAAAUAUUCCUUGUAACUUCCAGCGAAUGACAUAUUGAUACCAUGGUGAUUAUAUAGCAUGGAUGUUACCCCAUCAAAUCGGAAGCCAUCAAACAUGAAUUCGUCCAUCCAAUAU
This 239-nucleotide long non-coding RNA is filed under the name Triticum aestivum (bread wheat). Its description in RNAcentral is "long non-coding RNA (TAES_LNC018614)". The record is from RNAcentral. Lineage: Eukaryota; Viridiplantae; Streptophyta; Magnoliopsida; Poales; Poaceae.